UGGAUUUGUUUGAUUUUAUUACUCUUUAAGUUUGACAUAUGAAAAUACCAUACUUAAACAGUUCAUGUAGGGUACCUGAAACAAAGGCACUAAUACAGUACUAGAAAGGUGGUGACGGAUUUAAGAACAAUUGUGCCAAUUUCUAAUCUGUUUUAUAGUAAAGUUAUAGAAUUGGAGGAAGCUGCUCCUGUACAACUUUGGACGAGGGUAGGAGGAGCAGGGCGUCAGAAUGCCUUUCCAGGAACUUAGGAGUACGCCCAGUCGCUGCGUGGCUUCCCGCAUACUCAGCCCUGCGCCCGCGUUGGCGUGGCCUGGGCGCCCCCAACGUGACUCCGCCCAGGGCGCUCCGUUCUGCCAGCUGGAAACUACAGUUCCCAGAAGGCCACGCGAGCCCGGGAGGGACGCGGCGGCGGGGGCUGCAGGAAAGGCGCGAGCAGAGGCGGCGGCGGGUGUACCGUAGGUGGUCGGUCCGGCAGCAGCCCGGCCCCCGGACGCUGGACGUGGCCCCAGGCAGCCCUCGCAGCUCAGUCCUCUAGCCGGGGCAAGCCCGCGUCUCCGCCUGCUGGACGGGCCCAGGCGAGAUGUAGGGCUCUGGGCGCGGAGGCCGCCGGUGGGGCGGCUGAUCGCGGAGGAUCGCGGAGGGCGCGCCGAGGAUGGAGAGAGCGAUGGAGCAACUCAACCGCCUGACGCGCUCGCUGCGCCGCGCGCGCACCGUGGAGUUGCCCGAGGAUAAUGAAACUGCUGUUUAUACAUUAAUGCCAAUGGUUAUGGCUGAUCAACACAGGUCUGUUUCUGAACUACUAUCAAAUUCAAAAUUUGAUGUCAAUUAUGCGUUCGGACGUGUGAAAAGAAGCUUGCUUCACAUUGCAGCAAAUUGUGGAUCGGUGGAAUGCUUGGUUUUGCUGUUAAAGAAAGGAGCAAAUCCUAACUAUCAAGAUAUUUCAGGCUGUACACCCCUUCAUUUGGCAGCAAGAAAUGGGCAGAAGAAAUGUAUGAGUAAAUUAUUAGAAUAUAGCGCUGAUGUCAACAUUUGUAAUAAUGAAGGCCUUACAGCAAUACAUUGGCUGGCUGUGAAUGGGCGGACAGAACUACUCCAUGACCUUGUGCAGCAUGUCAGUGAUGUUGAUGUUGAGGAUGCCAUGGGGCAGACAGCACUGCAUGUUGCCUGCCAGAACGGUCACAAGACGACAGUGCAGUGCUUGCUAGACAGUGGUGCUGAUAUUAACAGGCCAAAUGUAUCAGGAGCAACUCCAUUGUACUUUGCUUGCAGUCAUGGUCAGAGAGAUACAGCACAGAUCCUACUAUUACGAGGAGCCAAAUAUCUGCCAGAUAAAAAUGGAGUAACUCCUCUGGAUUUAUGUGUACAGGGUGGAUAUGGAGAGACUUGUGAAGUAUUAAUUCAAUAUCACCCGAGGCUUUUUCAGACUAUUAUUCAAAUGACACAGAAUGAAGACCUCCGAGAAAACAUGUUACGGCAAGUUUUGGAGCAUUUGUCUCAGCAAAGUGAAAGCCAGUACCUAAAGAUUCUAACAAGCCUUGCUGAAGUUGCUACAACAAAUGGUCAUAAACUGCUUAGCCUCUCUAGCAAUUAUGAUGCUCAAAUGAAGAGCCUUUUAAGGAUUGUGAGAAUGUUUUGUCACGUCUUUCGAAUUGGUCCAUCCUCCCCCAGUAAUGGAAUUGAUAUGGGCUACAAUGGGAAUAAAACUCCAAGAAGCCAGGUGUUCAAGCCUCUGGAAUUGCUUUGGCACUCGUUAGAUGAAUGGCUAGUUUUGAUAGCCACAGAAUUGAUGAAAAACAAAAGAGACUCAACAGAGAUCACUUCUAUUUUACUGAAACAAAAAGGCCAAGAUCAAGAUGCUGCUUCCAUUCCUCCAUUUGAACCUCCAGGACCUGGGAGCUAUGAAAAUCUGUCCACUGGCACAAGGGAAUCUAAACCAGAUGCUCUUGCAGGGAGACAGGAAGCCAGUGCAGAUUGUCAGGAUGUUAUUUCUAUGACAGCUAACAGGCUAAGUGCUGUCAUUCAAGCUUUUUACAUGUGCUGUUCUUGUCAGAUGCCUCCGGGAAUGACUUCACCUCGUUUCAUUGAAUUUGUCUGCAAACAUGAUGAAGUUUUAAAAUGCUUUGUUAAUAGAAAUCCCAAAAUUAUAUUUGACCACUUUCACUUUCUCCUUGAAUGUCCUGAGUUGAUGUCAAGAUUCAUGCAUAUCAUAAAAGCACAGCCUUUUAAAGAUCGCUGUGAAUGGUUCUAUGAACAUUUGCAUUCAGGACAGCCAGAUUCAGACAUGGUGCACAGGCCAGUGAAUGAAAAUGAUAUCCUGCUGGUUCACAGAGAUUCUAUUUUUAGGAGUAGCUGUGAAGUUGUGUCAAAAGCAAAUUGUGCAAAGCUAAAGCAAGGGAUUGCUGUACGGUUCCAUGGAGAAGAAGGCAUGGGUCAAGGUGUUGUGCGUGAGUGGUUUGAUAUUCUGUCCAAUGAGAUAGUCAAUCCUGAUUAUGCAUUGUUUACCCAGUCAGCUGAUGGAACAACUUUUCAGCCUAAUAGCAACUCUUAUGUAAAUCCUGAUCACUUGAACUAUUUUCGGUUUGCUGGGCAGAUCUUGGGAUUAGCGUUGAACCACAGGCAGCUGGUCAAUAUUUACUUCACACGAUCCUUCUACAAGCACAUUCUUGGUAUUCCUGUAAAUUACCAAGAUGUGGCAUCCAUUGAUCCAGAAUAUGGGAAAAAUUUGCAAUGGAUUUUAGAUAAUGAUAUAAGUGAUCUGGGUCUAGAACUAACUUUUUCUGUUGAGACUGAUGUGUUUGGAGCAAUGGAAGAGGUGCCUUUGAAACCUGGGGGUGGGAGUAUUCUUGUGACACAAAAUAAUAAAGCGGAGUACGUCCAGCUUGUUACUGAACUUCGAAUGACAAGAGCCAUUCAGCCUCAGAUCAAUGCUUUUUUACAGGGCUUUCAUAUGUUCAUUCCACCCUCCCUCAUACAGCUUUUUGAUGAAUAUGAAUUGGAGCUACUGCUUUCUGGCAUGCCAGAAAUUGAUGUGAGUGAUUGGAUAAAAAAUACAGAAUACACAAGUGGCUAUGAAAGAGAAGAUCCAGUUAUUCAGUGGUUCUGGGAAGUUGUAGAAGACAUUACUCAAGAGGAGAGAGUUCUUCUCUUACAGUUUGUUACGGGCAGGAGUGGGGAUUCUUCCUCGCAGGAUGCCUGUAUUCAGUUAGGGAAAUGGUUGAAGACAAAAACUGAAGAAGCCACGGAGGACUGGUGAUUGCACUUAAGAAACAGCCUGAAACUAUCUGAGGCCUAAAGGAAGAUGCUGACAGAGUUACCAGUGGUUACAGACCCGGACUUCCUGUGAGGCGCCGCUGGUGGUCUGGCGCCCUCUGCUGGUGAAGUUGCCUGGCUUUCUCGUUGCUUGGUUUGCUCAGGAUUUUAUCUCCAUCUUGCUGGCGCAACAUCUUUCAGCAGAAUGUGCCAUUCUUAUACGAAGGUAAGAAGCCAUUCUGCUGGGCACCUUAUUUGAAGAAACACUCAAAGAGAAUCAAAGAAAGCAGGACUUGGCAUUUCUUCAACAGUAUACCCCUGUGUGUGAAUGCUCCCCUUUUCCUGCCAUCCGCCGAGGGGGCACUUUCAAGUACUCAGUUCCCAAUGUAGCCCUGGCCCCCCUCAGCUCUGGCACUCUUUAAAUUCCUUUGGCAAGAAAGUGAAUAUUCUUCUCCAGAACACACCAGGGGAGGCAGCCAAGAGGAAGAGAAGUCUGGGAGCCCUGGAAGAAGUUAGGCAGAAGCGCCUCAUCCUCAGGGAGCCAAGAUGGAGACGACCCAUGACUCGACCCUAGAAAGGCGGGUCAGCUUCUGCAGAGUGGUAGGGAGCACGGGCUCCUGGUGGAAAGAGGCAGGUCUUCAUGGACUGGGACCAAAUCCAACAGAUCAGCUGAGACGACAAGGCAGGCAAGUAGAAAUUGAGUGGAAGUGCUUAAGCCAGAGACAGAUGAGUGACUCAACUGGUUAAGAUUUGGUUAGUAAAAGGCUAGGGUUCUCACAUGCUCACUUGAAAUUUUUGUUUCAUAGUCUUCUGUGGGAAAAUAGAAAAUAAAUUGUGUGGCGGCCCUGCUGCUGUCAAAAGCAGUUGUCAAUUUGCAUCAGUUGUCAGUUUGCAUAGUUUCUAAUACACCGUCUAGAAGUUGUUAUUAAUAAUUAGGAUUUUCACUCUGAUGAGUCACGGAGCAAUUUAUAUAAAUUAAAACACACAACAUUAUCUGGAAAAAGCAUCAGAAGAAAGAUGGCAAAUUACUUAUAUCAGUGGUUCUUAAAGUGUGGUCCCUGGACCACCAUCAUCAUCAUCAUCUGGGAACACAUUAGAAAUGCAAAUUCUCAGGCCCCAUCCCAGACCCAUUGAAUCAGAAACUCUGGAGGUGGGCCCGGCAAUCUACAGUUUAACAAGCCCUCCAGGUGAUUCUGAUGCACACUCAAAUGUGAGCAGCACUGCCUUAGAUUAUAGUAUAAAUGAUGAAUACUAGAUCAUUUUCACUAAGGAAGGCCUAUAAAUGUGAUGGUUGGAGGGAAAGGAGGCAGGAAUAUGAGCCAACAAUUUGAAAGACACAUGUCUGCUAUGUACUGAAUAGUAAAGAUUGCUUGAAGUUUGACCGUGAGAUAAAUUGAGCUAAUAACAAUACCAUACAGCUUAAAGUUAAAUUGCCAUGAUCACAAAAGGACAAGGUGGAGAGUCUGAAAGAAAUGAUGAUAACUGGGAUUGUUCAGGUCCAUUCUGUGAUUGUUCUAGGGCAUUGCUGUGAGGCUGCCCUGUGUUCUGACACUGUGACCUUCUUUGAUAGAAAUGCAGGAAAAUUAUAUCUUCUUGAAAAGGUCAAGACCAAAACGAUUUCAUAGAAAUUAAUUUUCUUAGAGGGAAAAAUGAAUUGACAAUGUCAUGUGAAAAUUUUAUUGAAAAAUGUUUAUUCAAUUUAGGUAAUAGUAAAUGAUAAAGCAUCAGAAAUGUCUUCUUUAAUCUUUUAUUAAAAGUGUGAUUCAUAAGACUUCAAUGAAAAAAGAUACAAAAGGGCCAUAAGCAUCAUUCUUGUCUUCACCAUCCAGUUAUUUCUUUCUUGAAAAAACAGCAUUUCUUUAACAUAGUGUGAGAUAAUAAAGGGCUUCUGGAGAAUUUAGUCCCUAUGGCUGAGAUUCCUGAAAUUGCCAAAUAAGUCACUGACUGUCAUUUUGUGUGAAGGAGAUGAAGAAAAACCUGUUCUCAAUUACUGGGCAGCUGGUAUGUUUUAAUUGUUUGCUUUUUAUAAGCAGUAAAAUAAAAGGAGUAUUCCUUAAGUAUCCUUAUAUGUUAUUAAUGCAGUGCUUCUCACACGCAUUGUGCAUCAUGAUCCCCAGUGAACUUGUUAAAAAUGCAGAUUGGUUGCCUUUUGAGGUUUUGAUUUAGUAGGGAUAUGAUUUUUAACAAGCAUCCAAAUGAUUUUGGUGUAGGUGGUUUGAGGACCACACUUUUAAAAACCCUGCCCAGAGCCUACCCAUAAUUUAUGGGCUCAUUAUUUGAGCGUAUCUGAAAGUGACUGACAAUUUAUAAAAGCCAGUUUAGUGUAGAUAAAGCCUUAACAGUGAGCAACAGCUGCUUAUUCCAGUAGAGCCUUGUUGUUUGGCAUUUGGGGAAAAUGAGCAUUAUACAUAAGAUAAUUUCUUUAAAUUAAUACUUUAUUUUUUUAGAGCAGUUUUAGGUUUACAGGAAUUUGAGCAGGUAGUACAGAGAGUUCCCACAUAUUUCCUCUCACCUACGUCUCAGUUUCCCUGGGUACACUUGUUACUGUUGUACACUAAUACUUGUUAGUAUCAAACUGAUACUGAUACCUUAUUAUUAAAUGAAGUUCAGAGU
Molecule: RNA transcript, 5863 nt
Organism: Pan troglodytes (chimpanzee)
Lineage: Eukaryota; Metazoa; Chordata; Mammalia; Primates; Hominidae
Gene: HACE1
Gene name: HECT domain and ankyrin repeat containing E3 ubiquitin protein ligase 1
Exons: 24
Source: RefSeq, a predicted model, not a curated record